Molecule: transfer RNA, 94 nt
Filed under: uncultured marine thaumarchaeote KM3_06_C02
Lineage: Archaea; Thermoproteati; Nitrososphaerota
Description: tRNA-Arg
Rfam family: tRNA
About the family: Transfer RNA (tRNA) molecules are approximately 80 nucleotides in length.
Source: RNAcentral
GGGUCCGUAGCCUAGCAUGGAAUAAGGCGCCGGUCUUCGGAGUAUAUACGAAGCUAACCGGAUGUCGUGGGUUCAAGUCCUACCGGGCCCGCCA